CGCCUCCUCCCUCGCUCGCUCCUGCAGCCGCCUCCCUCCCUCCCUCCCACACAGCUGCCUCCCUCACUCGCUCGCUCCUCAUCCGGCGACGGCGGCGGCGGCUCCUGCGCCCGCGUUCUUCCUUCCCCAACACGCCACCGCGUGGCCCCGCACGCCUAGGCGGCUCCUUCCUCUCCUCCCCGCCCGCGUUGUUGCCCCCGCUCGUCCCCGCCCCCUCGCGCCCUCCCCUUCUCCCCGCCCUCUCGCUGCUCAGCAGGAGGAGCGCGGCUCACCGUCGUGGACUACGGCGCUCCUCCCGCCUCUCCCCAUCGCGCCGCCCCCCGCCUCUCCAUGGAGCCUGCUUCCUCACCCAUAUCCCCGGCGGCCAGAUCCACGACGCCGUCCUCCUCCACGACCACGCAGCCGCAACGGUGGAGGAGGAGCCAUGGAUCCCGAACCCUAGCCCGUGGGCAUCAGGCAGGAGGAGGCGACCACGCAGCCAUGGAUCUGUGGGGCGAAGCCAUGGAAGGGCCACCACCAACAGCACCUAUGGUCAUGGAGCGCCGUCGCCGCCUGGACCAAGCUCCCUGCUCCACUGACCAAGAACGCUCGAUUCCGGCCGCCUGCAGCACAUCAGGCCAUCAGCUAACAGAACUCUUUUCAUAGCUUGCUGAUCAAUUGGUGGAGGACAAUAUGUGCACUACUUUUCUUGAUCAAGUCACUUUUCUAUCAUGUUUGAGCUCACCAAUGGUGAUGUAGUCAACAUAUAUCUCUUCUUCAGCUAACCUGUUCAUGCCAAGGGCUUAAGUAUGGCAACAAAAAGGAAAAGGAUGGUGUGCAACAAAAGGAAAAUGAUGGUGUGCAACAAAAGAAAAAAAAAGAUGACGUGGAGCCUCAAGUACAAGUGAAGAAGUUAUAUUUGUGGAUAUGUCAGAAAGGCAUUAGGCUACUGCCUGUGACUGUUUUACCUUGAUUUGCCAGGCAUCCCAGGAGAUGGGAGUUGCUUAUUUUGCUCUGUGGUACAUAGAGCAUGCGUCCUCUCAGGGAAACCUAUACCUAAUGAAAAUCUUAAAUGAAAGCUAGCUGAUGAAUUCAGGAAGCAGCUAUACAAAUCCAUCAUUGUUUAGGCCGCUGAUGAAUCUGUCACUAGACGGGAAGAGACUUAAUGGUUUGUUGAAGGCGAUUUCAUACAUACAUUCCAGAUUAGGCGACCACAUGUGUGUGGUUGUGAGCCCGAACUGUUCAUGGCUUCACAUGUUCUCCAUGUUCUCAUUUGGGUUCAGUAUCUACAUAUAUGAACAUAGUGACUAUUAUCCCAAGCGCGCGUAGGGAGCUCUUGCUUGCUACACCAGCGACAGGCGCAUGAGCUUUCCGAUCCACGGCAACACCAGUCAACAGGGUACGACGAGGAUUCAUUGUAAGGAAAGUUAGUCUGGCCUCAGAUUUUACAUGGUCUGAUGCUCAAACAUCAAUGGAAUUGUUCAAGUCGUGCUCAGCGACGAUCAUUGCAGGCUCCAUUUGUUAUUAAAAUCUGCUAAUUGUUGUGUUCUCUUUACUUUGUAUUUUAUAAACUGCUACACAUAUCUGGCCUUUUGCUCAGUCAAUUGUGAGUUAGGAAGUGCGGCUUGCCGCACCCGGCUGGAAUCUUAAUUGUAUGAGGGUGAACAACAAAUGACUGGAUACAUGGUUUAUGCAUAUUUGUGUGAACUUUUAAACCAACAAACAUGUUAAUUAUUUUCUUUACUUACUCUAGCAAACAGUAGUCUUGAUUUAUGUAUUGGAAUAUUAGUUGUGUGCAAUGUUCUUACUGUUACAUGACAACUAUUGCUUCUGAACCCCCUCCUUUUAUUCGCUCUACUUUGUAAUGUAAUAGAGCUGCUAUCGCAUGUUGAUACUUGACAUUACUGCUAUGCUUUAGGCAUGUUUUUUUUAUCAAUUAGCUUCUGCUUUUUUGAUAAACAUGAAUUUGUUCUCUUCCUUUUCUAUCAAAUUGGCACAUAUAUGGUAUUGUUUGUCAGUUCUUUUAAGCAUAGUGGUACACAAGAGUUUUGAUUUUUUUUGUUCUGCUUUGGAUGAAUUGUUGUUCUAGCGGCGGAUGAUUUUUUCCUUCUCUUCACAAAUCAAGGAUCGGCUUAUUGUCCUGGUUAUAUGCACCGAGUGGAACAGAGCUUGCAUCUGUUCUUUUUUAUUGCUUUGAAAUGUUUCCAAAAACAUUAUACCAUGAUUUGCUCUAAUUCUAUCAACUCAAUGGUGGAAACCAAAUAUUUUUUUUAGAUCCUGUCAUGUCUUCCCGAUCAUUAGUUCAUGUAUGGUUUUAGAUGUUCUGUGUGAUUAUUCCUUGUCGUAUGAGUAGAUGGUUGUGGAUUCAAUCUGUUUGGCCGUUGCUCUGUCAAGAAACAUGUGGCCCGCGUAUGCAUAUGAUAUUUUAGCGGCCCUUCUGUUUGCUGGUUAUGAUGUGUCAUGAUGGUGAAAUAAAUUGUGGAUUUCGAUUCAAGCCUUGAGUCAUGAAAAUCCAAUAAGAGGUAGUCCGUGUAUGAUCAUUAGGCUAUGAUUUUUUAUGUUCCAAUGUAUGGUUCUUGGUAUGGUUUUGGCAUCUAAGGGGCUGUUUGGUUUGUGACUAACUUUGCCAAAUGUUGCCACACCUAAAGCUAGGCAAGUUUGACUAACUUAGGUGAGUGUUUGGGUCAAGCCACACCUUCGGCAAGCCACACUUGGACCCCACAUGGCAUACACAUACAAAAUGUGGCAAGAUUCCCUUAGGCUUGCCAACUUGUGGCUUUCAUUUUGGUGAACUAACCUUAGGCAAGCUUGGCAAAAAUAUGUGGCAAAGUUUGGCAAUGCUAGGCUUAGAACCAAACAGCCCCUAAGUUAUUGUUGGUCAUGUGUGGUGUUGUUGCUUAUUUAGGUUUGUUCUUUUGAGAUGCACAGGGGCGUUGUUAGGAUUUGUCCGUGCUUUCUAGAACCGUUGCUGGGGAAAAUUCUUGUCACUAUUGUUUGGUGCCGUUGUUAAGGCUUGCUGCUUCUUUGGACUGCCUUUGUUGCAGCCUUACUAAAAUUGGAGAUGUAAUGUUUUGGCUACUAAUUAGUAAGAAUGGCAAGAUAAGAUUUAGCCUAUGAAUGCACGACCCAUUUGCUGCUCCCUCCCCUAUGGGCGAUUCAACCUCAUGCCCCGCCUCCGCUCAACCCAAGCCCCGUUCAUCCAGGCCGUACGGUGUUGUUUGAUCGCUCAGCUAAAGGGUCUCCAACCAGGAUGCAUCAAGGCAUAUGCUAGCACCAUGGGGAAACAAAUCGUGAACAUGCUUGGUGAACUCGCCACAAAGGAGGUCGCCCGGCUGUGGAGGUUUAAAGACUAUGUUGAUGCCAUGAUGGACAAGAUGCAAGAUCUGGAAGCCGUUUACACGAUGCGGAUGAUAGGCCGCGCCAAGGAGGGAGAGACGGGGAAGUUGUUGGGAGGUGGCUCGCCAAAUUCAAGUCUGUCACCGAAGACGGAGGACGUGCUGAACGACCUGGACGCUGCAGAUCAACAUGGACAUGGACUUUUCACUUUCUAGAGUAACACACUGACAUGGCAUAGUAGUAGGCGACGGUUCUUUCAUUAUAACGGCUUAUAAUUAUCAUCAGACUCAUACUAUUAUGCAAAUGCUUCCUAUGAUUUCAUUGGUUAAAUUGUAUAAUUGUGACAGGUUCAUAUAUCAAUGUCAAGAAAGAGCUGAGCAACGGGACGACCUGACAAAGCUAUCAAAUAUUAGGUUACAUGGCAGCUACUUAGGCUCUUUAUAUUGCACAGGCCUUAUGGAUCCCUUUGUCUAUAAUUACUGAACUACCAUAUUUAAUUUGUGAUGACUCAUCGUGUUGGUUUACUUUUGGAAUCAAAA
Triticum aestivum (bread wheat) is the source of this 3854-nucleotide long non-coding RNA. RefSeq lists it as uncharacterized. The record is from RefSeq and is a predicted model, not a curated record. NCBI's taxonomy places the organism in Eukaryota, Viridiplantae, Streptophyta, Magnoliopsida, Poales, Poaceae. The transcript has 9 exons.